Molecule: ribosomal RNA, 438 nt
Filed under: uncultured bacterium
Lineage: Bacteria
Description: bacterial SSU rRNA
Rfam family: Bacterial small subunit ribosomal RNA
Source: RNAcentral
AUUGAACGCUGGCGGCAUGCCUUACACAUGCAAGUCGAACGGCAGCGGACCUUCGGGUGCCGGCGAGUGGCGAACGGGUGAGUAAUAUAUCGGAACGUACCUUUCAGUGGGGGAUAACGUAGCGAAAGUUACGCUAAUACCGCAUAUUCUGUGAGCAGGAAAGCAGGGGAUCGCAAGACCUUGCGCUGAUUGAGCGGCCGAUAUCAGAUUAGCUAGUUGGUGAGGUAAAGGCUCACCAAGGCGACGAUCUGUAGCGGGUCUGAGAGGAUGAUCCGCCACACUGGAACUGAGACACGGUCCAGACUCCUACGGGAGGCAGCAGUGGGGAAUUUUGGACAAUGGGCGCAAGCCUGAUCCAGCCAUGCCGCGUGAGUGAAGAAGGCCUCGGUUGUAAGACUCUUUCGGUCCGGGAGGAAAUACGCACAGGUUAAUACCCUA